UAAGAUGGUAUAUUUGAUACU
RNAcentral lists this non-coding RNA (21 nucleotides) under Caenorhabditis elegans. Lineage: Eukaryota; Metazoa; Nematoda; Chromadorea; Rhabditida; Rhabditidae. The record is from RNAcentral.